AUUGGGUCUAAAGGGUCUGUAGCCGGCCGGAUAAGUCUCUUGGGAAAUCCGGCAGCUCAACUGUUGGGCUUUCAGGAGAUACUGUCUGGCUCGAGGCCGGGAGAGGUGAGAGGUACUUCAGGGGUAGGGGUGAAAUCUUGUAAUCCUUGAAGGACCACCAGUGGCGAAGGCGUCUCACCAGAACGGACCUGACGGCAAGGGACGAAAGCUAGGGGCACGAACCGGAUUAGAUACCCGGGUAGUCCUAGCCGUAAACGAUACUCGCUAGGUGUCGGCCACGGUGCGACCGUUGUCGGUGCCGUAGGGAAGCCGUGAAGCGAGCCACCUGGGAAGUACGGCCGCAAGGCUGAAACUUAAAGGAAUUGGCGGGGGAGCACCACAACGGGUGGAGCUUGCGGUUUAAUUGGAUUCAACGCCGGAAAUCUUACCGGGACCGACAGCAAUAUGAAGGCCAGGCUGAAGACUUUGCCGGAUUAGCUGAGAGGUGGUGCAUGGCCGUCGUCAGUUCGUAU
Molecule: ribosomal RNA, 512 nt
Filed under: uncultured Methanotrichaceae archaeon
Lineage: Archaea; Methanobacteriati; Methanobacteriota; Methanomicrobia; Methanotrichales; Methanotrichaceae
Description: bacterial SSU rRNA
Rfam family: Archaeal small subunit ribosomal RNA
Source: RNAcentral